Molecule: ribosomal RNA, 253 nt
Filed under: uncultured bacterium
Lineage: Bacteria
Description: partial 16S ribosomal RNA
Rfam family: Bacterial small subunit ribosomal RNA
Source: RNAcentral
AACGUAGGAGGCGAGCGUUAUCCGGAGUUACUGGGCGUAAAGAGCGUGUAGGCGGGUAUGCAAGUUUGGCGUGAAAGCUCCGGGCUAAACUGGGAGAGUGCGCUGGAGACUGCAUGUCUAGAGGCGAGUAGAGGGACGUGGAAUUCCGGGUGUAGUGGUGAAAUGCGUAGAGAUCCGGAGGAACACCAGUGGCGAAGGCGACGUCCUGGGCUUGACCUGACGCUGAGACGCGACAGCACGGGGAGCGAACGGG